CAGCCAGCCAAUUACUCUGCUUCUCUGAAUGUGUUUCUACAGAAACUUAGAAACAGCUGGCGAUACUGAUGCCAUUUUAUGAGACUUAAGGACAACUGAGGUCAUUAUGGUCCCUCAAAAUGACUACAAAU
RNAcentral lists this small nucleolar RNA (131 nucleotides) under Jaculus jaculus (lesser Egyptian jerboa). RNAcentral's name for it is "Small nucleolar RNA SNORA33 (ENSJJAG00000000777.1)". It matches the Rfam family "Small nucleolar RNA SNORA33". From Rfam's summary of the family: ACA33 is a member of the H/ACA class of snoRNA that guide the sites of modification of uridines to pseudouridines. Lineage: Eukaryota; Metazoa; Chordata; Mammalia; Rodentia; Dipodidae. The record is from Rfam by way of RNAcentral.